UGAGUACGAGCUGCUACGGCAGCGAAGUGGGUGAUGUCAAGCUUCCAAGAAAAGCCCUAUACCCGUUAAGGCAUGACGGCCUGUACCCGAAACCGACACAGGUGGGGUGGUAGAGAAUACCGAGGGGCGCGAGAUAACUCUCUCUAAGGAACUCGGCAAAAUGGCCCCGUAACUUCGGGAGAAGGGGUGCCACCGCAAGGUGGUCGCAGUGAAGAGGCCCAGGCGACUGUUUACCAAAAACACAGGUCUCCGCUAAGUCGCAAGACGAUGUAUGGGGGCUGACGCCUGCCCAGUGCCGGAAGGUUAAGGAAGCUGGUCAGCGCAAGCGAAGCUAGCGACUGAAGCCCCGGUGAACGGCGGCCGUAACUAUAACGGUCCUAAGGUAGCGAAAUUCCUUGUCGGGUAAGUUCCGACCCGCACGAAAGGCGUAACGAUCUGGGCGCUGUCUCGGAGAGAGGCUCGGCGAGAUAGAAUUGUCUGUGCAGAUGCGGACUACGUGCACCCGGACAGAAAGACCCUAUGAAGCUUUACUGUAGCUUGGUAUUGUGCCCGGGCUCUGAAUGCGCAGGUUAGGUGGGAGGCUUUGAUCCUUUGCUUGUGGGUAAUGGUGAGCCACUGGUGAGAUACCACUCUUUCAGAGCUAGGGUUCUAACGGUCACCCGUUAUCCGGGGACCGGACAGUAUCAGGUGGGCAGUUCGACUGGGGCGGUCGCCUCCUAAAAGGUAACGGAGGCGCGCAAAGGUUCCCUCAGGCUGGUUGGAAAUCAGCCGACGAGUGUAAAGGCAGAAGGGAGCUUGACUGUGAGACCUACAAGUCGAACAGGGACGAAAGUCGGCCUUAGUGAUCCGACGGUUCUGAGUGGAAGGGCCGUCGCUCAACGGAUAAAAGUUACUCUAAGGAUAACAGGCUGAUCUCCCCCAAGAGUUCACAUCGACGGGGAGGUUUGGCACCUCGAUGUCGGCUCAUCGCAACCUGGGGCUGAAGUCGGUCCCAAGGGUUGGGCUGUUCGCCCAUUAAAGCGGUACGCGAGCUGGGUUCAGAACGUCGUGAGACAGUUCGGUCCAUAUCCGGUGCACGCGCAGGAACAUUGAGAGGAUUUCUCCCUAGUACGAGAGGACCGGGAGGAACGCACCUCUGGUGUACCAGUUAUCGUGCCAACGGUAAACGCUGGGUAGCCAUGUGCGGAGCAGAUAACCGCUGAAAGCAUCUAAGUGGGAAGCCCACCUCAAGAUGAGUGUUCCCAUGGCAUAAGCCAGUAAGGUCACGGGAAGAACACCCGUUGAUAGGCUCUACGUGGAAGCGUGGCAACACGUGAAGCGGAGGAGUACUAAUAGACCGAGGGCUUGACC
Molecule: ribosomal RNA, 1350 nt
Filed under: metagenome
Description: bacterial LSU rRNA
Rfam family: Bacterial large subunit ribosomal RNA
Source: RNAcentral